This 84-nucleotide transfer RNA is filed under the name Echinostoma caproni. It matches the Rfam family "tRNA". From Rfam's summary of the family: Transfer RNA (tRNA) molecules are approximately 80 nucleotides in length. Their secondary structure includes four short double-helical elements and three loops (D, anti-codon, and T loops). Further hydrogen bonds mediate the characteristic L-shaped molecular structure. tRNAs have two regions of fundamental functional importance: the anti-codon, which is responsible for specific mRNA codon recognition, and the 3' end, to which the tRNAs corresponding amino acid is attached (by aminoacyl-tRNA synthetases). tRNAs cope with the degeneracy of the genetic code in two manners: having more than one tRNA (with a specific anti-codon) for a particular amino acid; and 'wobble' base-pairing, i.e. permitting non-standard base-pairing at the 3rd anti-codon position. Lineage: Eukaryota; Metazoa; Platyhelminthes; Trematoda; Plagiorchiida; Echinostomatidae. The record is from Rfam by way of RNAcentral.
GGUCUCGUAGCUCAGCUGGUAGAGCGUGAACUGUGAAAAAGCUUAGGUGGCAUCAACGCGUGGGUUCCAAUCCCGCCGAGACAA